UAUGUUUUAGUAUAUGAUGUAUAUAGGUUUUUGAUACCUAAGGUAGUAGUUUAAUUCUAUUAAAUAUAA
Molecule: transfer RNA, 69 nt
Filed under: Abscondita terminalis
Lineage: Eukaryota; Metazoa; Arthropoda; Insecta; Coleoptera; Lampyridae
Also listed under: 1 other name
Description: tRNA-Gln
Rfam family: tRNA
About the family: Transfer RNA (tRNA) molecules are approximately 80 nucleotides in length. Their secondary structure includes four short double-helical elements and three loops (D, anti-codon, and T loops).
Source: RNAcentral